CCCUUAGAUGUUCUUGGCCGCACGCGUGCUACACUGAGUGGAUCAGCGGGUCAGGUUGCGCGAAAGCGUUUCCUAAUCUUUAAAUCCGCUCGUGAUGGGGAUUGACGGUUGCAAUUUUCUGUCAUGAACGAGGAAUACCUUGUAAGCGCGGGUCAUCAUCCCGCGCUGAAUACGUCCCUGCCCUUUGUACACACCGCCCGUCGCUCCUACCGAUUGAGUGGUCCGGUGAGGCUUUGGGAUCUGAGCGGAAAGAGCGUUUCGCUGUUUCUGCCCGGAAAACUCAGUCGAACCUUAUCAUUUAGAGGAAGGAGAAGUCGUAACA
Molecule: ribosomal RNA, 322 nt
Filed under: uncultured eukaryote
Lineage: Eukaryota
Description: partial 18S ribosomal RNA
Rfam family: Eukaryotic small subunit ribosomal RNA
Source: RNAcentral